CACUACGAAGCUAAGAGCGUUAACCUUUUAAGUUAAAAUUAGAGAUUAUAAGUCUCCAUAGUGA
RNAcentral lists this transfer RNA (64 nucleotides) under Arvicanthis rufinus. RNAcentral's name for it is "tRNA-Lys". The record is from RNAcentral. Lineage: Eukaryota; Metazoa; Chordata; Mammalia; Rodentia; Muridae.